RNAcentral lists this ribosomal RNA (498 nucleotides) under uncultured bacterium. RNAcentral's name for it is "partial 16S ribosomal RNA". It matches the Rfam family "Bacterial small subunit ribosomal RNA", at positions 30 to 523 of the family's 1533-position model. The record is from RNAcentral.
AUUGAACGCUGGCGGCAUGCCUUACACAUGCAAGUCGAACGGUAACAGGUCUUCGGAUGCUGACGAGUGGCGAACGGGUGAGUAAUACAUCGGAACGGGCCUAGUGGUGGGGGAUAAUUACUCGAAAGAGUGGCUAAUACUGAAUGAGAUCUACUGGGGAAAGCGGGGGAUCGCAAGACCUCGCGCGAUUGGAGCGGCCGAUAUCAGAUGAGGUAGUUGGUGGGGUAAAGGCUCACCAAGCCAACGAUCUGUAGAUGGUCGGAGAGGACGACCAGCCACACUGGGAAUGAGACACGGCCCAGACUCCUACGGGAGGCAGCAGUGGGGAAUUUUGAACAAUGGACGCAAGUCUGAUCCAGCCAUGCCGCGUGCGGGAAGAAAGCCUUCGGGUUGUUAACCGCUUUUGUCAGGGAAGAAACGCUCUGGGUUAAUACCUCGGGGUAAUGACGGUACCUGAAGAAUAAGCACCGGCUAACUACGUGCCAGCCGCCGCCGUAA